This 851-nucleotide ribosomal RNA is filed under the name uncultured bacterium. Its description in RNAcentral is "bacterial SSU rRNA". It matches the Rfam family "Bacterial small subunit ribosomal RNA", at positions 524 to 1381 of the family's 1533-position model. The record is from RNAcentral.
UACGUAGGGUGCAAGCGUUAAUCGGAAUUACUGGGCGUAAAGCGUGCGCAGGCGGUUCGGAAAGAAAGAUGUGAAAUCCCAGAGCUUAACUUUGGAACUGCAUUUUUAACUACCGGGCUAGAGUGUGUCAGAGGGAGGUGGAAUUCCGCGUGUAGCAGUGAAAUGCGUAGAUAUAUGGAGGAACACCGAUGGCGAAGGCAGCCUCCUGGGAUAACACUGACGCUCAUGCACGAAAGCGUGGGGAGCAAACAGGAUUAGAUACCCUGGUAGUCCACGCCCUAAACGAUGUCAACUAGCUGUUGGGGCCUUCGGGCCUUGGUAGCGCAGCUAACGCGUGAAGUUGACCGCCUGGGGAGUACGGUCGCAAGAUUAAAACUCAAAGGAAUUGACGGGGACCCGCACAAGCGGUGGAUGAUGUGGAUUAAUUCGAUGCAACGCGAAAAACCUUACCUACCCUUGACAUGUCUGGAAUGCCGAAGAGAUUUGGCAGUGCUCGCAAGAGAACCGGAACACAGGUGCUGCAUGGCUGUCGUCAGCUCGUGUCGUGAGAUAUUGGGUUAAGUCCCGCAACGAGCGCAACCCUUGUCAUUAGUUGCUACGAAAGGGCACUCUAAUGAGACUGCCGGUGACAAACCGGAGGAAGGUGGGAUGACGUCAAGUCCUCAUGGCCCUUAUGGGUAGGGCUUCACACGUCAUACAAUGGUCGGGACAGAGGGUCGCCAACCCGCGAGGGGGAGCCAAUCCCAGAAACCCGAUCGUAGUCCGGAUCGCAGUCUGCAACUCGACUGCGUGAAGUCGGAAUCGCUAGUAAUCGCGGAUCAGCAUGUCGCGGUGAAUACGUUCCCGGGUCU